RNAcentral lists this ribosomal RNA (493 nucleotides) under uncultured bacterium. RNAcentral describes it as "bacterial SSU rRNA". It matches the Rfam family "Bacterial small subunit ribosomal RNA", at positions 28 to 521 of the family's 1533-position model. The record is from RNAcentral.
GAUGAACGCUAGCGGCAGGCUUAACACAUGCAAGUCGAGGGGUAGGUUACUUCGGUAAUUGAGACCGGCGCACGGGUGCGUAACGCGUAUACAAUCUACCUUUUACAGAGGGAUAGCCCAGAGAAAUUUGGAUUAAUACCUCAUAGUAUUUUUGAAUCGCAUGAUUUGAUUAUUAAAGUUCCAACGGUAAAAGAUGAGUAUGCGUCCCAUUAGCUAGAUGGUAAGGUAACGGCUUACCAUGGCUACGAUGGGUAGGGGUCCUGAGAGGGAGAUCCCCCCACACUGGUACUGAGACACGGACCAGACUCCUACGGGAGGCAGCAGUGAGGAAUAUUGGACAAUGGGCGCAAGCCUGAUCCAGCCAUGCCGCGUGCAGGAAUAAGGUCCUAUGGAUUGAAACUGCUUUUANACAGGAAGAAACACACCCUCGUGAGGGUACUUGACGGUACUGUAAUGAAUAAGGACCGGCUAACUCCGUGCCAGCAGCCGCGGU